RNAcentral lists this long non-coding RNA (582 nucleotides) under Anas zonorhyncha (Eastern spot-billed duck). RNAcentral's name for it is "lncRNA (ENSAZOG00000001000.1)". Lineage: Eukaryota; Metazoa; Chordata; Aves; Anseriformes; Anatidae. The record is from RNAcentral.
ACAGAUGGCAGCAGUUACAACUGGCAUAUUCCCAGUUGGUGGCUUUAGCAUUUAGAAAUGAGCAUCUGUUCUUCUUCCCUAUUGCAAAGUGGUUUUAACUCAGAGGUGUUAAAAAUACGUAGACACAGAAGCAUGUGGAAUUGCCUUCCUGAGGCUAAACCACAAGCCUUGCAGCUGUGCUUCUCCCAGAUGCCUUUGCUACAUCCUGAAAUGCCCCAGGGGAAAAGGGGAUGCUGGAAGAGAUGCAGACUGCCCCCAACUUAGGUGGUUGCAGACUGCUCCCUCUGGUUCAGCUGCUGCUCAUUUUAUACCCUUCCACUGCCAACUUCACCUGCAAGAUCCAUAAUGCUGAAAACUUUAUUGUUGGGUCUUCUCUGUAUCAACACGGUAUCUGCUGGAUUCCCUACUGUGUUUCCACAUCAGGUUGGGUGCUCCUGAGCUGUGGACUGAAGGAGAAGUCAGAAGAUAAAUAGCUGAGGCAACAAAAGAUGACAGAUUGUGAAGUGCUCCCCGAAGCAAAGGCAAGCCUCUGGUUAAAAUAAUCUGUGUUUGAAGAUGUAAAAGGACAAUGCAGACAUAAAA